GUGGGGAAUAUUGGACAAUGGGCGAAAGCCUGAUCCAGCCAUGCCGCGUGUGUGAAGAAGGUCUUCGGAUUGUAAAGCACUUUAAGUUGGGAGGAAGGGCAGUAAGUUAAUACCUUGCUGUUUUGACGUUACCGACAGAAUAAGCACCGGCUAACUUCGUGCCAGCAGCCGCGGUAAUACGAAGGGUGCAAGCGUUAAUCGGAAUUACUGGGCGUAAAGCGCGCGUAGGUGGCUUUGUAAGUUGGAGGUGAAAUCCCCGGGCUCAACCUGGGAACUACCUCCAAAACUGCAUGACUAGAGUACGGUAGAGGGUAGUGGAAUUUCCUGUGUAGCGGUGAAAUGCGUAGAUAUAGGAAGGAACACCAGUGGCGAAGGCGACUACCUGGACUGAUACUGACACUGAGGUGCGAAAGCGUGGGGAGCAAACAGGAUUAGAAACCCCAGUAGUCC
This 450-nucleotide ribosomal RNA is filed under the name uncultured bacterium. RNAcentral's name for it is "partial 16S ribosomal RNA". It matches the Rfam family "Bacterial small subunit ribosomal RNA", at positions 354 to 796 of the family's 1533-position model. The record is from RNAcentral.